Molecule: long non-coding RNA, 254 nt
Filed under: Ananas comosus (pineapple)
Lineage: Eukaryota; Viridiplantae; Streptophyta; Magnoliopsida; Poales; Bromeliaceae
Description: long non-coding RNA (ACOM_LNC017549)
Source: RNAcentral
AAUGUUGGCUUAAAUGGCGUGAGGCUGGGUUGGACCGAGUCACAUUCGAAAUGGCGUGAGACUGGAUAGGCCGAGUCACGUUCGAAGUGGCGUGAGGCUGGGUGGACCGAGUUACAAUUGAGACCCGUGGGCGCUGUAUCAGUACGCUUUAAGUGAAUUGGUUGUGUAUUUCUAAUAGCUCGAGCUUUUGGAAUUAAUGAUUAGCGCCAACAAUCCGACAUGUAAAGCCACCAUGAGUUGGACAGUUGACAGUG